Non-coding RNA from Phrynosoma platyrhinos (Desert horned lizard), 71 nucleotides. The record is from the annotation of a GenBank genome assembly. Lineage: Eukaryota; Metazoa; Chordata; Lepidosauria; Squamata; Phrynosomatidae.
GCCAGUGUGGUGCAGUGGUUUAGCACUGGACUAUGACUCUGGAGACAAUGGUUCAAAUCCCUGCUUAGCCA